RNAcentral lists this ribosomal RNA (491 nucleotides) under uncultured bacterium. Its description in RNAcentral is "partial 16S ribosomal RNA". It matches the Rfam family "Bacterial small subunit ribosomal RNA", at positions 27 to 507 of the family's 1533-position model. The record is from RNAcentral.
GAUUGAACGCUGGCGGCAGGCCUAACACAUGCAAGUCGAACGGUAACAGGGAUCAGCUUGCUGAUUCGCUGACGAGUGGCGGACGGGUGAGUAAUGUCUGGGAAACUGCCUGAUGGAGGGGGAUAACUACUGGAAACGGUAGCUAAUACCGCAUAACGUCGCAAGACCAAAGAGGGGGACCUUCGGGCCUCUUGCCAUCGGAUGUGCCCAGAUGGGAUUAGCUAGUAGGUGGGGUAACGGCUCACCUAGGCGACGAUCCCUAGCUGGUCUGAGAGGAUGACCAGCCACACUGGAACUGAGACACGGUCCAGACUCCUACGGGAGGCAGCAGUGGGGAAUAUUGCACAAUGGGCGCAAGCCUGAUGCAGCCAUGCCGCGUGUAUGAAGAAGGCCUUCGGGUUGUAAAGUACUUUCAGCGGGGAGGAAGGGAGUAAAGUUAAUACCUUUGCUCAUUGACGUUACCCGCAGAAGAAGCACCGGCUAACUCCGUG